RNA transcript from Physeter macrocephalus (sperm whale), 3629 nucleotides. It is a transcript of the gene named protein kinase AMP-activated non-catalytic subunit gamma 2, with no coding region annotated. The transcript is spliced from 16 exons. The record is from RefSeq and is a predicted model, not a curated record. Lineage: Eukaryota; Metazoa; Chordata; Mammalia; Artiodactyla; Physeteridae.
AUUCCGUACUUUACAUUUGGUUUGGUGUGAAGCAGCUCCUUGUUCACUGGUAGCGCUCGGUACAGAAAAAAAUGUGCUGAGUUCAGGGGUGGGAGGCUCCUAGGGCCGCAGAGUCAGCAGGAGGGAGAUGGGGUGAGUUAGGCGGCCGCUCUGGGGGGUGAGGAUGGAAUGCACAGCGAUGGCAUGAGAGGAGUCUGGACGUGGCCCAGAGCAGCACAGAGAAAGAGCCCCAGGCUGGGGGCUCGUAGGCUGACCGGUCUUUGUCAGGGUCGGAAGGAGCGAGAGGGUGGCCCUUGGACCGUGUCUACUGAUGUCUUUGCUUUGGCUUGCAUGAUUAAAUAUUUUUAAGUAACCAAUUUAAAAUAAAAAUUUUAUUCAGUUACCUAUAAAUGUGAGAGAUCAGACUCAAAUCCAGAGUCUGAUCUUAGAAAACAAAUCAAUAUCAGGCAACAUCAUUGUAUUCAUUUCCUAGAGCUGCCAUAACAAAGUACCACAAACUGGGUGGCAUAAAACGACAGAAGUUUUUUCUCUCACGGUUCCAGAGGCUGCAAGUCUGAAACCAAGGUGUCAGCAGGGCCACGCUCUCCCUGAGACUCUGUAUAGAAUCCCUCAUUGCCUCUUCUAGCUUCUUUUUGCCGUCUUCCAGUUUUGUUGAGAAAUAAUUGAUACGCAUCUCCGCAUACGUUUAAGGCAUACAGCAUGAUACUUUGAUUUGCGUGUAUCGUGAAAUGAUCACAGUGGGUCGGCUAACAUCUCUCAUCUCUAUAGAAACAAUAAAAAGAAAAGAAAAAGGAAAAGAACUUUUCUCCUUGUGACGAGCGCUCAGGACUUACUUUCUUAACAACUGUCCUGUAUAUCGUACAGCAGUGUUGAGACUGCAGUCGUCAUUUUGCACAUGACAUCCCUGGUACUUAUUUAUCUUAUAACUGGAAAUUUGUACCUUUUGAUCACCUUCCUCCACUCUUCUAGCUUCUCAUGGUCGCCAGCAGCGCUUGGUGUUCCUUGACUCAUAGAGGCGUCACUCUGAUCUCUGCCUCUGUCAUCACAUGGCCUUCACCUCUGUGUGCGUGUGUGUAUGUGUGUGUGUGUGUGUGUGUGUGUGUGUGUGUGUGUGUGUGUCUGUGUCUUCUCCUCUUAUAAGGACACUACACAUAGGGUCAAGAGCCCAAACUACUCCGGUAUAAUCUCAGCUUGAUUCCAUCUGCAAAGACCUUAUUUCCAAAUAAGGUCCCAUUCAUAGGUAGCGGAGGUUGAGACUUUAACAUAUCUCUCUGGGGGGGCGGGGGACACCAUUCAGCUCCUAGCAGUGAUCCUGUGGUGUAAUCAGCGAGGUGUGAGUGAGCCAGGCCCCCAGGAUUGUACCAACCCUGUCGAAGUGGACGGCCUCUCGCUCCGGCAGAUUCCUGUCCCCAGCCUCCUUGCAGCGCCUUGGUCACCGAUUCCCACCCGCUUCUUCCUGGUUCCUGUCCAUCUAAGUCUUCACUCUGCAAGGCUCCUUCCUUCCCGAAGCCGCCCCCCAGCCUUUAUCUUCGUGGUGUUUCUCACUACCGCACACUCAGUGACCAUCUUCACGUGGCCCAUUUUGACAAUAACAGCGUGUCUCGUCUGCUCCUCGGUGUAUGUUGUCAGGCCUCUCUUCCUCUCCAUCAACACCCACCCAAGUGGCCAAGCAGCACACGUUUCCUCUCGAAUCCUAUCAGCAUGAGCCUGAGCGACUGGAAAAUCGCAUCUAUGCGUCCUCUUCCCCUCCGGACACAGGCCAGAGGUUCUGCCCGUCCUCCUUCCAGAGUUCAGCCAGGCCUCCGUCAGCAUGGCCAACACACCAUUCUCCCUCCAAAUCUGCGGCGCUGGCGGCGGCCCCGGGACCCGCGGAAGCCGGCAUGCUGGAGAAAUUCGAGUUGGAAGAAGAAGCGGAAGACUCAGAAAGUGGUGUUUACAUGCGAUUCAUGAGGUCACACAAGUGUUACGACAUCGUUCCAACCAGCUCCAAGCUUGUGGUCUUUGAUACCACGUUACAAGUUAAAAAGGCCUUCUUUGCCCUAGUAGCCAACGGUGUCCGAGCAGCGCCUUUGUGGGAGAGUAAAAGACAAAGUUUUGUAGGAAUGCUAACAAUUACAGAUUUCAUUAAUAUACUUCAUAGAUACUAUAAAUCACCCAUGGUACAGAUUUAUGAAUUAGAGGAACAUAAGAUUGAAACAUGGAGGGAGCUUUAUUUACAAGAAACAUUUAAGCCUUUAGUGAAUAUAUCUCCAGAUGCAAGCCUCUUCGAUGCUGUACACUCGUUGAUCAAAAAUAAAAUCCACAGAUUGCCAGUUAUUGACCCUAUCAGUGGGAAUGCACUUUAUAUACUUACCCACAAAAGAAUCCUCAAGUUCCUCCAGCUUUUUAUGUCUGAUAUGCCAAAGCCUGCUUUCAUGAAGCAGAACCUGGGUGCGCUCGGAAUCGGGACCUACCACAACAUCGCCUUCAUACACCCAGACACUCCCAUCAUUAAAGCCUUGAACGUCUUCGUGGAAAGACGAGUGUCAGCCUUGCCUGUUGUGGACGAGUCAGGAAAAGUUGUAGAUAUUUAUUCCAAAUUUGAUGUAAUUAACCUUGCUGCUGAAAAAACGUACAACAACCUAGACAUCACAGUGACCCAGGCCCUGCAGCACCGGUCACAGUAUUUCGAAGGCGUAGUCAAGUGCAGUAAGCUGGAAGUACUGGAGACCAUCGUGGACAGAAUAGUGAGAGCUGAGGUCCAUCGGCUGGUGGUAGUAAACGAAACAGACAGUAUCGUGGGUAUUAUUUCCCUGUCGGAUAUUCUGCAAGCCCUGAUACUCACCCCUGCAGGACUACUAACGGGAAAUCCGGAGGGAGAUUCUUUGGGAUCUAAGUACUGAAACCGUCUACCCUUCAAAAAAAAAAAGAAAAGCUUACUAGUAUUUUAGUACAGCGUUCGAGUUCAACAUGUGUGCACACUACAGAGUGAUCACCCCCCCAAGUCCAGCUGUCAUCCACCACCAUACAGCUGAGCCUCUCACCCACUGCACCCACACCCACCCCCUUCCCUUCUGGUGCCAAGCAGAAGGAGACAGAAACCGAAUGACAGCCGUGAGUGGAGGAGCCCUUGCAGGAGACCUUGAACAAAGAUGCUGGGUCACGCUUUGCCUCAUGAACACUGACCGCAAUAGAACAGAGUCCAAUGGCUGAGAAUGUGUAUCAGGGUUUAGUGACGGGUGUUUUUUCCAGCGAUGUUGAUAACUAAGCAUAAAAAAGAAAGAUUUUGUGUUUGAAGAUGCGAGCUUGCAUUAGAAGACUGUUUUCAGACCGUUGUCCGAAAGAUUUCAAAUGCUGUAUGUCAUUAAAGUGCACUGUGUCCUGAAUUUCUAUUAUUUUUCAUUUUAAAGAAUUCACUGGUAUCUAACAGGUAAUAUGACAUAAGGCGAGUGUGUGGCAUAUUGAGAUCUAGUGCCUUAUGUCAGAACAGCGAUAUGUCAUCACUACUGCCCACCACAGCUGGAGCGCGUCCUUGUGAACUGACACUGCUGGAGCGUGAACGUCUGAACCUUUACCAGAUCAGUUUGUUUUCAUUAGAUUUGUUGAAUAGCUGUAAUUUGAAUAUAAAUAAUUACUUUAUAAAACUUUAA